This 250-nucleotide ribosomal RNA is filed under the name uncultured bacterium. Its description in RNAcentral is "partial 16S ribosomal RNA". It matches the Rfam family "Bacterial small subunit ribosomal RNA", at positions 525 to 775 of the family's 1533-position model. The record is from RNAcentral.
ACGUAUGGGGCGAGCGUUAUCCGGAUUCAUUGGGCGUAAAGCGCGCGUAGGCGGAGCGCUAAGCGGGACCUCUAACCCGAGGGCUCAACCCCCGGCCGGGUCCCGAACUGGCGCUCUCGAGUGCGGUAGGGGAGAGCGGAAUUCCCGGUGUAGCGGUGGAAUGCGCAGAUAUCGGGAAGAACACCGACGGCGAAGGCAGCUCUCUGGGCCGAAACUGACGCUGAGGCGCGAAAGCUGGGGGAGCGAACAG